RNAcentral lists this long non-coding RNA (546 nucleotides) under Carica papaya (papaya). Its description in RNAcentral is "long non-coding RNA (CPAP_LNC000062)". Lineage: Eukaryota; Viridiplantae; Streptophyta; Magnoliopsida; Brassicales; Caricaceae. The record is from RNAcentral.
CUCAUAAAUAAAACUCAUAAAUGAACCCUUCCCCCAAGUAAUUCCUAAUGAUUCUUGACAAUAGCCGUGGAUUCCAUGCUUACCAUGUACAUUCAAAGGGACUUUAAGAAUAAGUUGAUCAAGUAUUGGGGUAUAUUAAGAAUCAUUUAGCCUUGACGGAUUUAGAAGAAUAGUACGAUUCAACUAAAGAAAAUUCAUGAAGAUGCCAAUAAUUAUAAGAAAAAGGGAAAAAGGAUCUUGAAAACUCUAGUAUGAUAAGGAACCACAAAUAACAUCUGUUACUUCAAAAACCAUCACACCCAUUUAGUUUUGUACACACCUAUCCUGGAGGAUGUGAAUAUGAAACAGAAUAGUAAAAGUAAACCGCUGUAUUGGUGAACUUUCCUAUAUGAAUACGAACAGCCACAGUAGAUUAAAACCCUAAGCCCUUACGAAUGAUGUCUAUGUUGGUGAUACUUAGAGGGUUUAUUAAAGAUUUAAGAUAAUAUACUCCAAAUAAUCAAAUAUUGAAUUUCAAAAAUUAGGAAACAAUAGCUUAAAGUAGAC